GGGUUGUGAGGUUAAGCGACUAAGCGUACACGGUGGAUGCCCUGGCAGUCAGAGGCGAUGAAGGACGUGCUAAUCUGCGAAAAGCGUCGGUAAGGUGAUAUGAACCGUUAUAACCGGCGAUGUCCGAAUGGGGAAACCCAGUGCAAUUCGUUGCACUAUCGUUAACUGAAUACAUAGGUUAACGAGGCGAACCGGGGGAACUGAAACAUCUAAGUACCCCGAGGAAAAGAAAUCAACCGAGAUUCCCCCAGUAGCGGCGAGCGAACGGGGAGCAGCCCAGAGUCUGAAUCAGCUUGUGUGUUAGUGGAACGGUCUGGAAAGUCCGACGGUACAGGGUGAUAGUCCCGUACACCAAAAUGCACAGGUUGUGAACUCGAAGAGUAGGGCGGGACACGUGGUAUCCUGUCUGAAUAUGGGGGGACCAUCCUCCAAGGCUAAAUACUCCUGACUGACCGAUAGUGAACCAGUACCGUGAGGGAAAGGCGAAAAGAACCCCGGCGAGGGGAGUGAAAAAGAACCUGAAACCGUGUACGUACAAGCAGUGGGAGCACCUUCGGGUGUGACUGCGUACCUUUUGUAUAAUGGGUCAGCGACUUAUAUUCUGUAGCAAGGUUAACCGUAUAGGGGAGCCGCAGGGAAACCGAGUCUUAACUGGGCGUUAAGUUGCAGGGUAUAGACCCGAAACCCGGUGAUCUAGCCAUGGGCAGGUUGAAGGUUGGGUAACACUAACUGGAGGACCGAACCGACUAAUGUUGAAAAAUUAGCGGAUGACUUGUGGCUGGGGGUGAAAGGCCAAUCAAACCGGGAGAUAGCUGGUUCUCCCCGAAAGCUAUUUAGGUAGCGCCUCGUGAACUCAUCUUCGGGGGUAGAGCACUGUUUCGGCUAGGGGGUCAUCCCGACUUACCAACCCGAUGCAAACUACGAAUACCGAAGAAUGUUAUCACGGGAGACACACGGCGGGUGCUAACGUCCGUCGUGAAGAGGGAAACAACCCAGACCGCCAGCUAAGGUCCCAAAGUCAUGGUUAAGUGGGAAACGAUGUGGGAAGGCACAGACAGCCAGGAUGUUGGCUUAGAAGCAGCCAUCAUUUAAAGAAAGCGUAAUAGCUCACUGGUCGAGUCGGCCUGCGCGGAAGAUGUAACGGGGCUAAACCAUGCACCGAAGCUGCGGCAGCGACACUAUGUGUUGUUGGGUAGGGGAGCGUUCUGUAAGCCUGCGAAGGUGUGCUGUGAGGCAUGCUGGAGGUAUCAGAAGUGCGAAUGCUGACAUAAGUAACGAUAAAGCGGGUGAAAAGCCCGCUCGCCGGAAGACCAAGGGUUCCUGUCCAACGUUAAUCGGGGCAGGGUGAGUCGACCCCUAAGGCGAGGCCGAAAGGCGUAGUCGAUGGGAAACAGGUUAAUAUUCCUGUACUUGGUGUUACUGCGAAGGGGGGACGGAGAAGGCUAUGUUAGCCGGGCGACGGUUGUCCCGGUUUAAGCAUGUAGGCUGGUU
RNAcentral lists this ribosomal RNA (1491 nucleotides) under Klebsiella pneumoniae. Its description in RNAcentral is "bacterial LSU rRNA". It matches the Rfam family "Bacterial large subunit ribosomal RNA", at positions 1 to 1530 of the family's 2925-position model. RNAcentral also lists the same sequence under 1 other name. Lineage: Bacteria; Pseudomonadati; Pseudomonadota; Gammaproteobacteria; Enterobacterales; Enterobacteriaceae. The record is from RNAcentral.